GGGUGGGGGGCAAGGGAAGGGUCUCCGGUGGGCAGGGAGAGGUACCAGGGUGCCGAACCAGUCCAGGACUGUUCCCUGCUGGCCCAGCCAGAAGCCCGGGGCCUGAGAAGCUCUGUCUCCCGUGGCGGGCAUUGGCCUCACCCUUUCUCUGCCUCCAGCACCCAGGACGGCCACAGAUGGCAGUGUCUCUGGGAACAGCAGCUGUGACUAAGUCCGAGGGCCAAUGCUGAGCCGCUGAGCUGCUCGGGCCGAGGUGGUGAGCUCAGUGCAGAGCCCCGGACCAGGCGUCUCUCUGCAGGGCGUGAGCCGGGGCCACCCACCGCGAUGCCGCACUUCCUGGACUGGUUCGUGCCGGUCUACCUGGUCAUCUCCGUCCUCAUCCUGGUGGGCUUCGGCGCCUGCAUCUACUACUUCGAGCCCGGCCUGCAGGAGGCACACAAGUGGCGUAUGCAGCGCCCGGUGGUGGACCGCGACCUCCGCAAGACGCUGAUGGUCCGCGACAACCUGGCCUUCGGAGGCCCAGAGGUCUGAGCUGAAGGCUCUGGGCUGGGGGUUGGGCCCCGGGCACCCUUCCCGGCCCCACCCAGCUUGGAGACCCUGGGGCAAAGGGAGGACGGCCUCCGGGCCGCCGGGCCCUCCGUCCCAGCAGAUGACCCUGGGUGCUUGGGGCGGACCCUGGCUGUGGAAAGAUGGGGCACCUGGGUGCUCGGAGGUGCUGCUGCCGCUGGCCCAGGGCUGGCUCCCCGCCUCGAGCUAGCUCACCCUGUGCCCGCCUUCCCUGGCUCUUGGGACACCCCCACUGGCCCCCAGUGCCUUUGUGCUGCCCAGCACUCCUGUCCCUCCCUCCACGUGGAGUCCCGAGCCUCCAGGGCUCCCACGUUCCCACUCAGUCUCCAGUCACACUCGGGUCCCUGCUCCACCCAGCGGCACCACCGACCCCACAGCUCCUGGUGGCUGCUUCCAAGCCGACCCAAGGAAAGGGCCCCAUCUGGAGGGGGGUCAGCUUGGUCCGGACCAGCCCCCAACCCUCUGGGCUCACACUUGGCAUUGGCGUGUGUGGAGGGCUGUUAGAGGGGCAAGGCCAUGGGGAAGGAGGUGUGUGUGUGUGUGUGUGUGUGAGUGUGAGAGAGAGAGAGAGAGAGAGAGAGGGAGAGAGUCUGGGGGAAGUGGGGAGACCCGUGGGGGAAGGAGAUGUGUGUGUGAGAGGGGGACUGGGGGCCCCAGGCAGGAGGCGUGGGGAUGGGGUGAGCUCCGUGGACAGUCUGGGGGUCACCCACGGCAGCUCCCGCCCCGUCCCUCUACCCUCGCUCCUGAGCCAGGUCCCCCAGCCCCCCACCCCCGCCCUGAACCCGUCUCCCGUGUGGGGCGCUGUUGCCUCGUGGUGGACACAGAUCAGCAACCUGCCUCGCUCCCUCCCUCUGGGGCUUCCACCUUAAUUUAUUGCAAUAAAAAGGCAUCGUGAGCA
Molecule: long non-coding RNA, 1465 nt
Organism: Phyllostomus discolor (pale spear-nosed bat)
Lineage: Eukaryota; Metazoa; Chordata; Mammalia; Chiroptera; Phyllostomidae
Exons: 2
Source: RefSeq, a predicted model, not a curated record